GAAUCAGCUUGUGUGUUAGUGGAACGGUCUGGAAAGUCCGACGGUACAGGGUGAUAGUCCCGUACACGAAAGCACACAUGCUGUGAACUCGAAGAGUAGGGCGGGACACGUGGUAUCCUGUCUGAAUAUGGGGGGACCAUCCUCCAAGGCUAAAUACUCCUGACUGACCGAUAGUGAACCAGUACCGUGAGGGAAAGGCGAAAAGAACCCCGGCGAGGGGAGUGAAAAAGAACCUGAAACCGUGUACGUACAAGCAGUGGGAGCCUACUUGUUAGGUGACUGCGUACCUUUUGUAUAAUGGGUCAGCGACUUAUAUUCUGUAGCAAGGUUAACCGUAUAGGGGAGCCGAAGGGAAACCGAGUCUUAACUGGGCGUUAAGUUGCAGGGUAUAGACCCGAAACCCGGUGAUCUAGCCAUGGGCAGGUUGAAGGUUGGGUAACACUAACUGGAGGACCGAACCGACUAAUGUUGAAAAAUUAGCGGAUGACCUGUGGCUGGGGGUGAAAGGCCAAUCAAACCGGGAGAUAGCUGGUUCUCCCCGAAAGCUAUUUAGGUAGCGCCUCGUGAACUCAUCUUCGGGGGUAGAGCACUGUUUCGGCUAGGGGGCCAUCCCGGCUUACCAACCCGAUGCAAACUACGAAUACCGAAGAAUGUUAUCACGGGAGACACACGGCGGGUGCUAACGUCCGUCGUGAAGAGGGAAACAACCCAGACCGCCAGCUAAGGUCCCAAAGUCAUGGUUAAGUGGGAAACGAUGUGGGAAGGCACAGACAGCCAGGAUGUUGGCUUAGAAGCAGCCAUCAUUUAAAGAAAGCGUAAUAGCUCACUGGUCGAGUCGGCCUGCGCGGAAGAUGUAACGGGGCUAAACCAUGCACCGAAGCUGCGGCAGCGACACUAUGUGUUGUUGGGUAGGGGAGCGUUCUGUAAGCCGUUGAAGGUG
Molecule: ribosomal RNA, 940 nt
Filed under: Enterobacter hormaechei
Lineage: Bacteria; Pseudomonadati; Pseudomonadota; Gammaproteobacteria; Enterobacterales; Enterobacteriaceae
Description: partial 23S ribosomal RNA
Rfam family: Bacterial large subunit ribosomal RNA
Source: RNAcentral